Molecule: non-coding RNA, 28 nt
Filed under: Mus musculus (house mouse)
Lineage: Eukaryota; Metazoa; Chordata; Mammalia; Rodentia; Muridae
Source: RNAcentral
UGUAAUGACUUCUGGCACCAAGUGUGGU